Molecule: ribosomal RNA, 520 nt
Filed under: uncultured bacterium
Lineage: Bacteria
Description: partial 16S ribosomal RNA
Rfam family: Bacterial small subunit ribosomal RNA
Source: RNAcentral
GACGAACGCUGGCGGCGUGCCUAAUACAUGCAAGUCGAACGCACUCUCGUUUAGAUUGAAGGAGUUUGCUCCUGAUUGAUAAACAUUUGAGUGAGUGGCGGACGGGUGAGUAACACGUGGGUAACCUGCCCUAAAGUGGGGGAUAACAUUUGGAAACAGAUGCUAAUACCGCAUAAAACCUAACACCGCAUGGUGUAGGGUUGAAAGAUGGUUUCGGCUAUCACUUUAGGAUGGACCCGCGGUGGAUUAGUUAGUUGGUGAGGUAAAGGCUCACCAAGACCGUGAUGCAUAGCCGACCUGAGAGGGUAAUCGGCCACACUGGGACUGAGACACGGCCCAGACUCCUACGGGAGGCAGCAGUAGGGAAUCUUCCACAAUGGACGAAAGUCUGAUGGAGCAACGCCGCGUGAGUGAAGAAGGUUUUCGGAUCGUAAAACUCUGUUGUUGGAGAAGAAUGUAUCUGAUAGUAACUGAUCAGGUAGUGACGGUAUCCAACCAGAAAGCCACGGCUAACUACGUG